Molecule: transfer RNA, 73 nt
Filed under: Mus musculus (house mouse)
Lineage: Eukaryota; Metazoa; Chordata; Mammalia; Rodentia; Muridae
Rfam family: tRNA
About the family: Transfer RNA (tRNA) molecules are approximately 80 nucleotides in length. Their secondary structure includes four short double-helical elements and three loops (D, anti-codon, and T loops).
Source: Rfam by way of RNAcentral
GGAGAGAUGGCUCAGUGGUUAAGAGCACUGGCUGCUCUUCCAGAGGUCCUGAGUUCAAUUCCCAGCACCACCU